Parus major (Great Tit) is the source of this 9685-nucleotide RNA transcript. It is a transcript of the gene named mannosidase endo-alpha, with no coding region annotated. The record is from RefSeq and is a predicted model, not a curated record. The transcript has 6 exons. NCBI's taxonomy places the organism in Eukaryota, Metazoa, Chordata, Aves, Passeriformes, Paridae.
GUGUUCCUUCUGCGGUCAAUUUUUUCACAUCACGUUUGUCUCUGUGUUAUUUUUAUUAUGUAGAGAUUUUAUGAAGCAUUUCAUACUGCUGAAUACUAGGUAAUAAGAAAUCUGACCUGAGAAUAUUUGUCUUUUGAUCAGUUGCGGCCAAAAUCCUUCUGUUGGGAUUCUGAACUAUGACAUCAUGGCAAGAUUUCGCAGAAGAACAUGCAUCAUUUUGUUGCUUUUUAUUUUGUUUAUUUGCUCCAUAAUGAUGGCUUUGAAGACUCUGAGACCUGACAGAGCUGGCUUUGGGGAUCCAUUUGGACUUGGUUUGUUGCCGGAGCUUCAACAACGGACAGUGCUCUUAGACAGUAAACAGAAUUCGUUAAAUAGGGCUCAAGGAGAUACUGUGACACGUGUUAGUAAUUUGCAUAGUAUUGCUGUCAAUACUAUGAAAGCAUCUAUGUUUCCAGUAAAAAAGCUGGAAGAGGAGCUGUCUUCUCCUAAUUAUAACUUUCAUAUCUUCUACUAUACUUGGUAUGGGAAUCCACAGUUUGAUGGUAAAUACAUUCACUGGAACCAUCCGUUGUUGCCACACUGGGACCCCAAAAUUGCAAACAAUUAUCCAAAGGGAAGGCAUACUCCUCCUGAGGACAUUGGGGCCAACUUUUAUCCAGAACUUGGAUCUUACAGUUCCAAAGACCCUACUGUCAUAGAAGCCCACAUGAAACAAAUGCGUUCAGCUUCAACUGGUGUAAUAGUGCUUUCAUGGUACCCACCAGGUAUGGCUGAUGAAAAUGGAGAACCAACUGAUGAUUUGGUGCCAGUUGUUUUGGACUAUGCACACAAAUAUAACCUAAAGGUCACUUUUCAUAUCGAACCUUACAAAGACAGAGAUGAUCGCAGCAUGUACCACAAUGUCAAGUACAUCAUUGACAGCAUAUAUUAUAUCCUGUGCAGCUACAUAUUCUGUUCUCAGUGGGGUUGUUACUGGCUGAAUCACAAGAAGUAUUGAAAGCUGUUCGAAGACAGCAAAUGUUUCCAGACAAGUCUGAGGCAGAGAAGCAAACAAUAGACAUCAAAAAAUAUCUAAUGUCAGUAUGAUCAUUUCACACUGUCACUCCAGACUUCACUGCACUUCCAGACACUUUUGCAACUGUGCUGGCUGACAUUAUUUCAACACAGUUACAAAACAUUUAUUAGACCUCCAGCUGUUCUGUGGCAGUGUAAGUGGGAAGACAAUGAUAAAAUUAUAUCCAACUUGUUAUAUAUUAAAUAUUAAUUCCUUUUUUUUUUUUUUUUUUUGCAAAUAUUAUUUUAAGAUCUAAUCUUACCAAGGGAGAAGUAUGCUGUUCCCAAGGGAGCUACUCUGUGCAGAGUGCAGCUAGUGAAACCCUUUUGUCUAAGUUGUACUGUGGAUGUGCUUUUGCAUUUUCUGCAUACUAGUGACAGUGAGUACGACAAGAUUUGGUGGUAAUUUGUCCUAAAACACAAAUCAGACACUUCUAGCUUUUGCUGAAUUGUUAGGCUCUGAAAGAGGUGCUGGCAGCUACACAGGUUGUAGGCCCAAAUCUAAAGGUCACAGAUGUCAGCUGGAUACUUAAGAUUUUCAUACUGAAUUUCAAAUCAAUGCCUAACUACCAUUUGUGCCUUUGAAAAUAUGCCUUUGUGUGUUUUGUUGAAUCAGAGCCUACAUGUGGACUAGCUCACAUGAUAUGGUACAGGGUGAAGUCUAUAGCUAAAGGCUUCACAAGAUUAAGCAAACAACUCUUUCCUGAUGCACAACUCUUUUUCUUUGCUGUCUGUAACUUCAGUGAAGACAAAAUCUUGCUCGGUUCCAAGAGAUUGUAACAGAUUGAAAAUUAAAUAAGGAAAACUUUGCAGGACAGCACAGGGAUACCUAUGAUCACAUUGUUGACAGUGAAUCUCAUGGAACAGAAAUAGCUUAGCAGAAUCAAAUGAGUCCUGUGUUUUCCUAGUCUUGCUGGGGGAAGAAAGAAAGAGAGUUUGUAUUAGCCAGCUGUCAGUGACAGGUAUUGAUCAAUUACAAAACUGAUGAGACGUAGAACUUCACUGCAAUGAGAAGAGUUUAGGUUGUGACAUUCCUGCAGCCUGUUACUUCUACCUGUCUUACCAGGUGCUGCAAGCUGGCAGGUCCAGAAGCACUGGGGACUUUACAAGUUCAGCUGUUAAACAGAUGCAAAUAACUUAUUCACAGAUAAAUGUUGAUAAGAAUAUUGGAAUUAAGGAAAUAUAUUUGGUGGAGAAAGGACACAACUGUAGCAAUGAAAAAAAUGUUCCCAGAGUUUGAAGGCAGCCUUUUAGAUAUACUUUCACAGUGCUGAGUCCCUCUUCACUGAUGCUUAAUUAGCACUUUCUUAUCCAUUGUUGCUUAUGUUUGCCUGAUUACACAAUGACAAUGUCAUCUCAUUCUCUUUCACCACAUUCUACUUUGAGAACUAUUUGGCAGUCUAAACCCCUUUCGGAUAUCCAGUCCACCAAAUAGUCACAAAUUGCUUGUCUCUGUUUCAUAUUAAUUAUCAUACACAAUACUUGAAAUUAUCUUUCACAUACUUGAAAUUUUCAUAGCUAAAAAAUCCAUAUUCUACUUAUCAUUUGGUUUAAUCUGUAGGGUAAGUUCAUAUAAGCAGGACAAACUAUCUUUCUGUUCUGAAUUCUAGAUCAAAAGUUGAAGGUGAGUUGUUUCUUUUCCAUUUUUUCACCAGAAAGAAAAAAUAUUCAUAUUCAGUGGGUUUUAUCAUAGGCUUUGUCAUAUCUUGACAAAUAAUUAUGAGCUUCAAGUUUUGUUACUCAGCUUCAGUUUUCAGUGGAAAUUCAGUGCAAUUUCUCUAAUUUAGGUUUAGCAGGUGAUUUAUUUCUUGCAGUUGGUACAUAAAUCUUAUAUCAUUCGUUCAAAUUUACCUGAUCUUAUUAAGAUAUCAUCCUGGUUUCAGCUGGAUUCAAGUUAAUUUUUUCUCAGUAGCUGUAACAGUACUGUGUUUUGGAUUCAGAAUGAGAAUAGUGUUGAUAAUGUGCUGAAGUUUAGAUUUUGCUAAGUUGUUUUUAUUCUAAGCCAAGGACCUUUUUACUGGUCUUGUGCUCUGCAAGUGAGGAGGUGCACAAAAGAAAACCAGGAGGGAGGAUGGCCAGAACAGGUGUCCCAAACUGGCCAAAAGGAUAUUCCACGCCACAGAAUGUCAUGCAGAGUAUAUAAAAUGGGGGAAGUUACUUGAAAAGGUGGCUGAGCUGGACUGAGGAAGGAGAGUGUGGCAUUGGUCAGUGGGUGGUAAGGAAAUGUAUUAUGCAUCACUCGUUGAGGCCUUUUUCCAUUAUAUUACUAUUACUAUUAUUAAUUAUUAUUUUUAUUAUUAUCAUCAUCAUCAUCAACUACUGUUUUUACUCUAUUUCACUUUCUUUUCUGUGUUUAAACUAUUCUUAUAUCAACCUACAAAUUUUACUUUGAUUUUCCUCCCCAUUCCACCAGGGUGGUAGGGAGAGAGGGGUGUUGAGGGAGCAGCUGCCUGGAGCUUAAUUUCAGUUGGGCUUAAAUCAUGACAUAUCAAAAGAGUUUUUGAGGGGGACUGCAUAGAAAAUGUUCAAAGCAGUAAAACACUAGCAGUGACUUCUCUUCUUGGUACAUUACUGGCAACCAUAAUAAUACAAAAUAUUAUCUGUGAACAUUCUCAGUAGAAGUGUAAAACACCAUCUAUUAUAAUUUUUAUUUUUAUCAUAUAAGCAAAAAGUGGUGUUUAGUAUAAAUUAUGUUUACAUUAUGAAGUAAAUAUAUUCUUUUAAAAAUUAUAUUAAUUCUGAAUGAGACAUACAUCAAAUGGGAAAAGGGAUGAAAGCAUCCUAUGCUUAUUAAUAGUAGCUGUUUCAAGGCAGACAGCUCAAGAUUAGAUUUUUCUAGUAUUGUUUUUCAUGGUAUUCUACAACCUUACUUGCACACAUAUACUAAAGUCAAACACAGAGAAAUAUGUUUAUUCAUAUGUUGCCUUUUUGUGAAUGUAUCUAUAUCCUUUAUGCCCUGCUUUUUGACUCAUAGAUAUCCCAGGAAUCACUGGAUAUGACUUUGUACAGAUUUAUUCAACCUCAGUUUGAGCAGCUCAGGCCAGGCCAGAACAGAACAAAUUUUUUGAAUUUUCCUCACACACUUUGUUUGGGAAUGGCUAUUAGCCAUAACACCAGUAUAUCUGUUAAAAAGUAGAGGUAAUAGGACUCUUCACUGUGUUUUCUGUAACCUGGCAUAUUCUCAAGCAAUGUUCCAGUCAGACAACCUGUGGAAACACCUGCCACCCCACACAUCACACCCGUGCCAGACCUGCCUUUGGCAGAUACUUCCCCACACACACAGCAGAACCAGCUGCUACCAGAGUCCAGGUGCACCAAACCCUCAUUCCAGUGAGUGAAAAUCAAGGUAAACAUGCCUGUUUCAUAAAUCUUGCAGGGAUUUAAACACAAGGAUAACACCAGUAUCAAGUUCUUCUCCACUGUUAACUCUGGGCACACCUAAGGACACGCCAAACAAAGUCAAAUUGCAAAUAUGCAGUUUCUAGGUAAAAUUAAGCAACCUCUGGAUAAUGCACUAUUGUAUUAAAGUGUACAUUUUCUACAUUUUGGAUUUAAGCAGAUGACAUUUGCCUUCCUUUUGUAUAGCAAAGUCUAUCAUAAAUUAACUUAUAUUAUUUUUUUAAGUGUCCAUAUAGAAAAUCUUCUAUUUAAAAUUAAGCCAGUACCUAGAGAAGCAAAAAUUUCUCUCUCUGUACAGCUUGUAAAGGACAGAAAAGCCAAUAUCCCAACUUCCAUUUUAUUUACAGUCAGGGGCAAUAGCCUUGCCAUAUAAACAUCCUGUGAGGAGGAAAAUCUAUGCUUUUAUCUGAAUCUCAGAUAUCCUGUUUCUAGUGUAUUUCUAAGUACUCUCUAUAUCUAUUUGUUUGGCACCUGUCUCAGCCCAAGGCUCUUGUCACUGCUCCACCUAGGGUUAUGCCUAGGGUUAGGGUCACAACUAGGGUUAGGGUUCAAAAAACUACAAAGCCUGGAGCUCCAGGGACUGUGCAGAUAUAACAGAGCUGCCAAACUUACAAUAAAAAACCACCAUUAAAUAUUUCUGUUUGUAAGUUUUGGGUUGGCACCUCUCUCAGCCCAAGGCUCUUUUCACUGCUCCACCUAGGGUUACCCCUAGGGUUAGGGCUCGGAAAAGUACAAAGCCCAGAGCUCCAGGGACUGUGCACCUACAAUAGACCUGCCAAACUGAAUAGAAAACCACUAGUUAAUAGCUCUCUCUAUGUCUUUUUAUUUGGCACCUGUCUUACCCUCAGGGUCUUUUUACUGUUCCACCUAGGGUUAGGGUUACACCUAGGGUUAGGGUUCAGAAAACUACAAAGCCCAGAAGUCCAGGUACUUUGCAGCUACAAUAGACCGCCAAAGUGAUUUGAAAACCACCACUUAAAUGAUAAGCUGCUAUGGAGUAUUCAGACAGGGUUCUGUGCUAUCAUUUCCUAUUUUUUAUCACUAGUGCUGUUGAAAAAAGUGCUUCCAACUUUAUAAUUUUUUUAUUAUUACACAGUAUUACCUGGUCUGCAGAGACAUUGGCUCUUUCAGGAAAACACCUGCAUAAUUUAUUCUUAAAUCCAUACAAACAGAGAAUAUAAAUCAUAAAGAAUGAGUAACCAACAGCUGAAAAGCAUUUUGCACAAUUAUGCCCAUACUUUGUCUUCAAAGUGUUUGUAAUUAUAUCAUUUCAAACUCAAGAAAGAUGUGGAAAAGGUUAUGGAGAAUUUACACUGUAGUUCCUCAUUGUAUAAGAAUCAAGGAUAUAAAAAUGAAGAUCAGGGAAUUGCCCAAAAAUUAUUUUCUCAUCAAAAUCUCAAAUAUUAAAACUUAAAGUGAUGAAAAUUAUUCACAUAAGAAGGUAGUGGCUUGUAACAAGGAAAAUUACACUCUUUCACAACCAUAGGUAUAAGCGCAUCUUGCAGCAAAAAUGUUAUUUUAUAGAUACGAUAUUAUUCAACAAUAGUAAGGAAAAUAAUCUAAAUGUCUGUCAGCCUAUAACUGCAUUGAAAACCACAGUAUAAAAAGCCAAGAAUCUUUUUGGAUCUCUUUGUCAGUGAUUUAAACCUGGGUGCUAGGAGGGGAUUCAGCUUCAGAUAGAGACGCUGUCAUCACGGUAUCUUUGUGGGGGUAUUUCCACACAAGGUAAACAUUCCAGUCCCACCUGCUAAGAGAUUUCUAGUCAAAGGAUUCAGAGUGAUCCAACUAAGGUUUCAGCAGACACUAGCAUUUGAUCAGCUGAAUUGUUGCCUCAGCUGUAUCUGACAGAGAACUACAUUUCAUUGCCUAAACUUAAUAAUCUCAUGGUGGUUUUUAUGCAUUACAACAUUCCUCUAGUUUCUGCUUAUCCCUUCAAAGGACACGGGGGUUUUUCUCAUCCCAUGCAGAGGGCUCAGCUACUACAGAGAGCUUCAAAUGCCACGAGGUGCCCAUAUUUAGAGACCUGCAUUUGUUCACCCUACUUUUAUGAAUUGAAAUAGGAUUUUUUCUUAUUCAGCAUAAUGUUUGUGCUUCAGUUUUGUGCAGGCAAGUAUUUCUCCAGAGGGACCUUGGCAGUUAGGUUUUCCCUUAGGUCCCAAAUAUUUAGUCAUAAGUAUCUUCACUGCAAUAAAAGAACAAAUUAAAAAGUCAUAGAAAUAUGACCACUAGAUUUUAUAGUUAUAAAGCUUUAUUUGAAUGUGGUGAGCAUUCAAGUAAGAGUAAUUUAUUUUAUACUACUUCUUGCUAUUGCAAGUUCAUGACUGCAAAACAGAUAUAAAACCAGUGGAGACAUUCAUUAAAGAAUUAAUUAAAAAACCAAAAAUAAUGAAUUAUACAUCAGAACAACACUAUGACUCCUCUGAGGGGUAGGCAUUAUAUUAAUUGUAUACAUUCACUUCCUUUAAUUUGUUUUAUUAUUUUUUUUCAUUCAGAGACAAAUUGUAAAAUAUAUCAAAUCAGUGCUGACAUCUGACCAUUAAGGUGUCUGCAUCAGUAAUAAAGGAUAAAUUAUCAUCUCAGAUAAUUCCCUGAAUAUAUAGCAGAAAUAAUGAGUUGAACUUGAUUUUAGAUUUCAAUAUUAGUAACAGGGGUACUCAGUUCAGAACUUGACAGCCCCUAACCUGAGGAUGUAGCCAAGGCCUCUCUAGGACUCUGACUCACUUUGAUAGUAAAGGUCCUGCUUGCAGUACAAGCCAAAAAAAUUCAGAUGGAAUUUCUGAUGGAGGAAUAAUCGUGCUGUAGCUUAUUUACCUUGUGAUAGCUCUGAUUCCGUGGACUGAUGACACUGAUAAUUAAGAUAACUUUGUGAUUUUCCUUGAACUCCCUUAUGUGAGCUGCCCUUCCUUGGUGUGUCACACAGUGGGACCAGCACAGUGGCCAGCCAUUUAGUGUGACUUAGACCUUCUUAGGAGUCAGUCUACUGGUCUCCAUCCUUCCUGACCUGUUUUCAAGGAAGGAUUAAAAGUCAGGGCAAAAGAACUGUGGGACAGCUGUUUGCUGGCAGUUGCACAGUGUGAUAUAUUUCAAACAUCCUAAAUUUAUCUGAAAGGUAAAUAGAGACACAAUUAUUCCUGCAUGUUUUUUCUGGUUGAAUAAUUACCUAUAAUAGUAUUUUUAUUGCUGAGUUUCUAGAUUCAAUUAGAUACCUAUUAUAUUUUUUUACCCUACUCACAGAUCAGUGUGGCUUUAAAAACUUAAGGGUUUUUCUCAGAUAUUCUGUGCUUCCUAAUGAAUGGAAGUAUUGCAAUAUAAUCACAUAUCUUAUCAGUUGCAAUAUUAACCCUGGCCACUUUAAAAAAUGUUUUCAUGUUUCUGAUAUCAUGAUGCCAUGUUCUACCAAGGCAAACAAAUGAAAUUUCAAUUAUGAUAUAUCUGACAAAGCUAUAACAAACAUGUCAUACUAUGGAAAUUAUUCUUCUCUAAAAAUAGUCAGGAACAAACUCCAUCCCUUUUUCAAGAGCCUGUCAGACUCUUUCAUAAGAAAUAUUCAUACAAUGUUUCUCUUCCUUAUUACAUUUCCGUAUUAUCACUGAAUAUUCUAUCAUAAUUUCUUAACAUUAUUACAACUUUAUAUGGUAAUGUGAUUGAUUGUAUGGCAAAGUGACAUUAAGAAAGUGAUUUGUUUGUUUCUGGAUUGUUUUAAGGAAAUUAAAGUGUUGAAAAAAUUAAAAUGAGCUAGCAGAAGAAAAAAGCUGUUAGAAAGGCUCCAAGAGCACUUGAAUUUAAUUUCUCUACCAGUUGUGUACUCAGUAAACAAUACUGAGUUGGGAUUUUCUGUUUUGAUACUUAGACGUUUCUGAAACACAAUAGUAGCAUAUAUGCAUAUACUUCUUUAUUUAAAAACUAAAUAAUAGUGGUUUUUAAAGUAUUUUUUUUCUACUCUGGAACCACAGUGCCAGAGAUGUCCUCUUGAUGCCCUUUCAAAUCCUGAUUUUUUGCUUCAUUUCAACAAGGGAAAUCUUCUUGCCCUUUUUCCUAUUGUCAUUUCUCCAUUAGACAGUGCCAGUUACACGGUAACAUUUUUUCAUGCCAAUAUACUUUUCAGAUGCAAAUAGGCAGGUUACAGAUUAGGUACAGAAAGGACGCCUUUUGUGAAAUGCACUAACUUCUCACUGUCUUUUCUUUACAUCAAAGCUAUUUGUUCUUCAAUUAGCCCAAGACUGACAAUUCCUGAGCAUUAUACUUUCUAUUCUUUUGCAUUUCUAUUUUUCACUUUUAUUUCACUUCAAUUAUUUUGACAUAUGAACAGUUGGAGUUUGUUUAAAUUCAGUGCAUAUGCUUCACUUCUUGGUUUUCUCAAACUAUGCUAACUGGUUUGCAAGGAAAAAGAGUAAAACAAGUUGAUGUUAUCUUAAUUUUCUGUACCUGAGUAUUUGCCAGAGAUUCCACAGCACAUUUUUUUAAUAUUUCUCUCUGUACAGGAAUUGUGAAAAGCACAUGUAGCAUUUUUUUUUCCCCAUCCAAAAAAAGUUUAAUAUCUAUGGGGCAACUCUACCCAGCUGUAGAGAUAAAAAAUAGAAUAAGGAUAGCAUACCUUGUUUUCAGUUUCUUUUACUUCAGUGUAACAGAUAAAAAUAAAAUAAAGGGAAUGGUUUAUGGCCUCAUGGUUGUAGCGCUGCUUCUCUAUGCUGCAUAUUGACUAUAUUUAAAGUGUAGUUGGUGGUAGGAAUGGAAAACAUCUGUUUGAAAAGAAAAAAGUGACUAGAUUAUUCAGUCAUGUCCUUUUGUCUUGUUUCUUUUCACAUGUUCUUGUCCUGUGUUGAUCACUGCUGUCCUGUUGUACGUUGAGCCUGGAGAUCACAUAAGUGCCUCUUGCUCUUCAAACUCUAGAGGAAAUUAGAUGAUCUGCUUGACUAUCUUUUCUCUGGAGAAAAAAGGUAGGAAAGCAUCCCCAAAGAGGAGCAUGCCUUGAGUCCAACAAAGACAUUAAUUCACUGCACUGGAGUCCUUGGAACUGGUAUCCUGGAACACCAUUGCCUAUCAAUUUUCUAAGGAUUCUCUUGACACCAGGAGAGCUGUUAUAUUUAGAUGCUUAUCUGCUUUUGACUGCAGUGCAGUACUUCCAAAGAUGUCUUUCAUUUUGAGGCUUAACACAUUAAAUAUCACCUGAUCUGAAGAUGUUUGAGAGUGUAGAGCCUCCUGCAUAGAAUAAAUGUCUUGUCUAAAAAUAGCA